GCUCAUUUGUCCCUUGAGGGUCCCUCAAUAAGUGGCAUGGUCUGACCACCCCCAAGGGAGGAAAUGUAUUCUUCCAGCCAGACCCUGGCCCCUCUAUGCUGGCCGGCACUCACCGGUCCCCCUAGGGGGGAGAGAACUGGCCUGCCUCAUGCCACCUUGGUGGUCUCGGCUCAGACAACGUUACGUUUCUAGGACAGCAAGCGAAUCCUUGUUGCUGGCUGCCCGGGAGGGCAGAGCAGAGACUGCGAGACCCCUGGCCUGUGUCCGUCUCCACAGGCUCACGGGAGUGCUGAAGCACACUCCGCACCCCCCCUCCUGAGGCCUCCAGGCUGCUGUGCCCUUGGGCGGCUGAGGAUGACCUUGCAGAGUGGCCCUGCUGGUGGGUCUCUUCAAACCAAUGAGACCACCGGGCGAGGUCUACAAGAGCUGUCCCAUGGGGCUCGGCUCGGCUGCAGGCGCCAUGGGAUGACGCCCAGCCCCAAGGACCAAGGGCACAGGCUGCCCCAGAGCUGACCGGCGGUACACUGGACACCAACACUGCUGAGACGUGAGGCAGAGGCCAGGGGCCACCAAAAGCUCACAUUCCUGCCUACAGUUGCUGGGAGUCCUCCCAGGGCUGCCCCCUCGGCCUGCCCAGGCAGACUACCCCGCAGCGUGGGGAAGCAAGUUCACAUGCACUGCACAGUAAGCAAGCCCAGAUGCUGUCGAAGAGCUUCAGGGACUCAUGCAUGCGGUUCUGCAACAGAGCGGAGAGGUGCGUGAGGGCCGGCAGAGCCCUGGUCCCGACCCACCACAGGCAAGACACAAGGGAUAAGCAGAGGGCAGGUCCACCCACGCGCUGACGCACCACGGGGAGACCAGGACGGACAGGGUGCAGCCCCUGCUUCAUUCCACACGCAGGCAGGGGUAGGGGCUCUGGGGUCCGGGUAGGAGCUGCCCCUCUGGCCCAGAGAGCUGACCCUGGACAGGGGCAGUGAGGGGCUGGGGGUGUCCAGCCCCAGAGAGGACAUGCACCAUGCACACAGGGUGGGCUGAGACCACCACCCAGCACAUCUAUCCUGGACCCCGGGGCAUGCAGACCUCCUUAGGACUCAUGGGCUUUGCCCACCUGGCGGGGUCAGGAGGGGCACGCAUUCAGCGGGGAAACAUUAACUGAGGACAGAGGCCCUCGAGUUAAUCUUGAGUUGGAAGCAGACACCCGGGGGGACAGCAUUGGGGGGUGGUCUUGCUGUGGUUUGAGUGUGGUCGGCCGGCUGGGCUGGGGCUCUAGGCAAGCUGGUUGGGGGCUGCUUCUCAGGAGAUGGGCCAGAGACCCAAAGGAAACAGCACAGCAGAUGCAGA
Molecule: long non-coding RNA, 1341 nt
Organism: Echinops telfairi (small Madagascar hedgehog)
Lineage: Eukaryota; Metazoa; Chordata; Mammalia; Afrosoricida; Tenrecidae
Exons: 3
Source: RefSeq, a predicted model, not a curated record